AGUCAUCCCUCAUUUACCUUCUGUCUUUCUGUUGGUUUAUCCAAUAAAACUCAAUAGAAUACGUUAAUGCUUGUGCUUUUAAUGUGAAAAAAUGUGAAAUAAGAGAUAUGAGAACUUUUGCGACUGGCUGCAAACUCCACUCAGAAAUGGUUGACACUUCAUCCAAAUCGGGAACAACUGCAGUGCCUACAACUAAAAUGUUCUGUGAGUUGCAGCAAAGUGGUGGAAAACAUGAAUCUGGAGCUAUAAUAAUAGCUCCCUGUUCUUAAAAUCAGUGCAUACACUGUCCUUUUUUUUUUGUUUAUCAAUUUUGAGAAGCAUGUCACCUUGAUUUUAUCUACAAGGUGUUGUGUGCCAGGAAAAAAAAAAAACAUAGAUGGGAUCAAGAGUCAUGAAUACAUAAUGCGGGAAUGUUGACGGUCCUUCUAGCAUCAAAAGCUGCUCGGACAAGUCCAAAUAUACGCACCUGUUGAAGAAGGAGAAUCGCUACCCCGCUUGUGUGUGAGCUACGACAAAACCACCAGAGUCGGUUUCUGGAAACCGCUGCGAGCAAAUCAGACGAGUCCGAGUAGCGCCAUCUUCCUACGGGGCUGAGCUCGACGUGGCUUUUGGACGUACAGUGUGAGCAGUCAGAUCGCAUCAGAGCAUCGGGCCGUACAGUGUAA
Long non-coding RNA from Fundulus heteroclitus (mummichog), 665 nucleotides. RefSeq lists it as uncharacterized. NCBI's taxonomy places the organism in Eukaryota, Metazoa, Chordata, Actinopteri, Cyprinodontiformes, Fundulidae. The record is from RefSeq and is a predicted model, not a curated record. The transcript has 3 exons.